This 572-nucleotide ribosomal RNA is filed under the name Salmonella enterica. Its description in RNAcentral is "partial 23S ribosomal RNA". It matches the Rfam family "Bacterial large subunit ribosomal RNA", at positions 661 to 1230 of the family's 2925-position model. The record is from RNAcentral. Lineage: Bacteria; Pseudomonadati; Pseudomonadota; Gammaproteobacteria; Enterobacterales; Enterobacteriaceae.
GGGAGCCGGAGGGAAACCGAGUCUUAACCGGGCGUUAAGUUGCAGGGUAUAGACCCGAAACCCGGUGAUCUAGCCAUGGGCAGGUUGAAGGUUGGGUAACACUAACUGGAGGACCGAACCGACUAAUGUUGAAAAAUUAGCGGAUGACCUGUGGCUGGGGGUGAAAGGCCAAUCAAACCGGGAGAUAGCUGGUUCUCCCCGAAAGCUAUUUAGGUAGCGCCUCGUGAAUUCAUCUCCGGGGGUAGAGCACUGUUUCGGCUAGGGGGCCAUCCCGGCUUACCAACCCGAUGCAAACUGCGAAUACCGGAGAAUGUUAUCACGGGAGACACACGGCGGGUGCUAACGUCCGUCGUGAAGAGGGAAACAACCCAGACCGCCAGCUAAGGUCCCAAAGUCAUGGUUAAGUGGGAAACGAUGUGGGAAGGCCCAGACAGCCAGGAUGUUGGCUUAGAAGCAGCCAUCAUUUAAAGAAAGCGUAAUAGCUCACUGGUCGAGUCGGCCUGCGCGGAAGAUGUAACGGGGCUAAACCAUGCACCGAAGCUGCGGCAGCGACGCUGAUGCGUUGUUGGGUA